UUCCAGACUCCUACGGGAGGCAGCAGUGGGGAAUAUUGCACAAUGGGGGGAACCCUGAUGCAGCGACGCCGCGUGAAGGAAGAAGUAUUUCGGUAUGUAAACUUCUAUCAGCAGGGAAGAAAAUGACGGUACCUGACUAAGAAGCCCCGGCUAACUACGUGCCAGCAGCCGCGGUAAUACGUAGGGGGCAAGCGUUAUCCGGAUUUACUGGGUGUAAAGGGAGCGUAGGCGGCGAUGCAAGUCAGAAGUGAAAGCCCGGGGCUCAACUCCGGGACUGCUUUGGAAACUGUAUGGCUGGAGUGCAGGAGAGGUAAGUGGAAUUCCUAGUGUAGCGGUGAAAUGCGUAGAUAUUAGGAGGAACACCAGUGGCGAAGGCGGCUUACUGGACUGUAACUGACGUUGAGGCUCGAAAGCGUGGGGAGCAAACAGGAUUAGAUACCCUGGUA
RNAcentral lists this ribosomal RNA (446 nucleotides) under uncultured bacterium. RNAcentral describes it as "bacterial SSU rRNA". It matches the Rfam family "Bacterial small subunit ribosomal RNA", at positions 329 to 792 of the family's 1533-position model. The record is from RNAcentral.